This 239-nucleotide ribosomal RNA is filed under the name uncultured bacterium. RNAcentral describes it as "partial 16S ribosomal RNA". It matches the Rfam family "Bacterial small subunit ribosomal RNA", at positions 15 to 236 of the family's 1533-position model. The record is from RNAcentral.
GAUCCUGGCUCAGGAUGAACGCUGGCGGCGUGCUUAACACAUGCAAGUCGAGCGAAGCGCUUAGGAAAGAUUCUUAGGAUGAUUUCCUAUUUGACUGAGCGGCGGACGGGUGAGUAACGCGUGGGUAACCUGCCUCAUACAGGGGGAUAACAGUUAGAAAUGACUGCUAAUACCGCAUAAGACCACAGCACCGCAUGGUGCAGGGGUAAAAACUCCGGUGGUAUGAGAUGGACCCGCGU